This 420-nucleotide ribosomal RNA is filed under the name uncultured microorganism. RNAcentral's name for it is "bacterial SSU rRNA". It matches the Rfam family "Bacterial small subunit ribosomal RNA", at positions 9 to 435 of the family's 1533-position model. The record is from RNAcentral.
GAGUUUGAUCGUGGCUCAGGACGAACGCUGGCGGCGUGCUUAACACAUGCAGGUCGAGCGGUAAGGCCUUUCGGGGUACACGAGCGGCGAACGGGUGAGUAACACGUGGGUGAUCUGCCCUGCACUUCGGGAUAAGCCUGGGGAAACUGGGUCUAAUACCGGAUAUGACCUCCUAUCGCAUGGUGGGUGGUGGAAAGAUUUAUCGGUGCAGGAUGGGCCCGCGGCCUAUCAGCUUGUUGGUGGGGUAAUGGCCUACCAAGGCGACGACGGGUAGCCGACCUGAGAGGGUGACCGGCCACACUGGGACUGAGACACGGCCCAGACUCCUACGGGAGGCAGCAGUGGGGAAUAUUGCACAAUGGGCGAAAGCCUGAUGCAGCGACGCCGCGUGAGGGAUGACGGCCUCGGUUGUAACCGUAC